Molecule: transfer RNA, 63 nt
Filed under: Cucujoidea sp. 31 KM-2017
Lineage: Eukaryota; Metazoa; Arthropoda; Insecta; Coleoptera
Description: tRNA-Tyr
Rfam family: tRNA
About the family: Transfer RNA (tRNA) molecules are approximately 80 nucleotides in length. Their secondary structure includes four short double-helical elements and three loops (D, anti-codon, and T loops).
Source: RNAcentral
GAUAAAAUGGCUGAGUUAAAGGCGAUAAAUUGUAAAUUUAUAAACGAGAGUUCUCUUUUAUCA